CCUACGGGUGGCAGCAGUGGGGAAUAUUGGACAAUGGGGGCAACCCUGAUCCAGCGACGCCGCGUGUGUGAAGAAGGCCUGCGGGUUGUAAAGCACUUUUAGUGGGGAUGAAAAGCUCAGGGCUAAUACCUCUGGGUCUUGACCUAACCCACAGAAAAAGCACCGGCUAACUCUGUGCCAGCAGCCGCGGUAAUACAGAGGGUGCAAGCGUUAAUCGGAAUUACUGGGCGUAAAGCGUGCGUAGACGGUUAUGUAAGUUAGGUGUGAAAGCCCCGGGCUCAACCUGGGAAUUGCAUUUAAGACUGCAUAGCUAGGGUACGGAAGAGGGAAGCGGAAUUUCCGGUGUAGCGGUGAAAUGCGUAGAUAUCGGAAGGAACACCAGUGGCGAAAGCGGCUUCCUGGUCCAGUACCGACGUUCAGGCACGAAAGCGUGGGGAGCA
Molecule: ribosomal RNA, 440 nt
Filed under: uncultured bacterium
Lineage: Bacteria
Description: bacterial SSU rRNA
Rfam family: Bacterial small subunit ribosomal RNA
Source: RNAcentral